This is a long non-coding RNA of Diabrotica virgifera virgifera (western corn rootworm), 379 nucleotides long. RefSeq lists it as uncharacterized. Lineage: Eukaryota; Metazoa; Arthropoda; Insecta; Coleoptera; Chrysomelidae. The record is from RefSeq and is a predicted model, not a curated record. The transcript is spliced from 2 exons.
GUCAGUCAGCUGUUUCUACUAGGCCAACAAUGGAUGGGUGAUACCUGUACCAUGAAAAAAGUUUUUUUGUGUUUGUGUAACGUGUAAUGUGGCCGUUUUUCUGUUUUUAUUGUUUGGGGUUGUACGGAGGACAUAGCAUAUCCAACCAAAAUUUAUUUUCACAAGAUGCAAAUGUUAACACCUCAAUUUUGUAGCAGUACUUUUUUUAACAAUUGACCAUUAGCUCCGAUGAUGACGUUUAUGCAGAAAGCGCUCAGCUAAAGAAAUAAAUUAUUUACACACUUUGAUAUACUACAUUUUUUAUUUCCUCUGCGAAUAGUAGUAGUAGUGUAAUACUGUAGUAGUAGUUUGAAGAUCAUGGAGGGAUCUGUUUCUUAUU